UAUUUAGAAAUCCAGUGUCGGUGACAGUGAGGAAGCUUGGAGAGUGAACCCGAAGUAGAGCUGCUGAGCUCAGAUGGCCGUGGAGUCCAGGGGUUGAGAAGGAUGGAUCCUCCUGGGUGAAGCCCAGGGAAAACUGACGUUGGUGAAGUGUUUAACUUUGCUGUCCUCAGGGAAAGAUGUCUGCCAAGCAGUGGACCACGGCUGUGAGCAUGCUUGUGUGAGCACUGGGGAGUCGUAUGUCUGCAAGUGCAUGGAGGGAUUCCGGCUGGCCGAGGAUGGGAGACGUUGCAGAAGGAAGGAUGUCUGCAAAUCGACCCACCAUGGCUGUGAACACAUUUGUGUUAACCGUGGUAACUCCUACAUCUGCAAAUGCUCAAAGGGAUUUAUUCUAGCUGAGGAUGGAAGACGGUGCAAAAGAUGCACUGAAGGCCCAGUUGACUUGGUUUUUGUGAUUGAUGGGUCCAAGAGCCUUGGAGAAGAUAAUUUUGAGAUUGUGAAGCAGUUUGUCACUGGAAUUAUAGAUUCCUUGGCGAUUUCUCCCAAAGCUGCUCGAGUAGGGCUGCUCCAGUAUUCCACACUGGUCCGCACAGAGCUCACCCUGAGAAACUUCAGCUCGGCCAAAGACAUGAAAAAAGCCGUGGCCCACAUGAAAUACAUGGGCAAGGGCUCUAUGACCGGGCUGGCCCUGAAACAUAUGUUUGAGAGAAGUUUUACCCAAGUAGAAGGGGCCCGGCCUCUCUCCACACGGGUGCCCAGAGUGGCCAUCGUCUUCACGGAUGGACGGGCUCAGGACGACGUCUCCGAGUGGGCCAGUAAAGCCCAGGCCAAUGGAAUAACUAUGUAUGCUGUUGGGGUGGGGAAAGCCAUUGAGGAGGAACUGCGAGAGAUCGCCUCUGAGCCCACAGAAAAGCACCUCUUCUAUGCGGAAGACUUCAGCACGAUGGGCGAGAUAAGUGCCAAACUGCAGAAAGGCAUAUGUGAAGCUCUGGAAGACUCUGAUGGAAGACAGGACUCUCCAGCAGGGGAACUGCCAAAGAGGGUCCACAAGCCAACAGAAUCUGAGCCAGUCACCAUAAAUAUCCGAGACCUACUUUCCUGUUCUAAUUUUGCAGUGCAACACAGAUAUCUGUUUGAAGAAGACAAUCUUGCACGGUCUACACAAAAAGUUUUCCAUUCGACAAAAUCCUCAGGAAGUCCUUUGGAAGAAAAACAGGAUCAAUGCAAAUGUGAAAACCUUAUAAUGUUCCAGAACCUUGCAAAUGAAGAACAUCAUCAGUUCAGCUCCCAGAGGCGUGCUAUGGUAAAUUAAUUUAUAAGCAACAGGGGAGUGAGCAGAACUAAAAUUUUUAAAAAGAAAAAUUUGAACUAUAUGGACUUAAUGUUAAAAAAAAAAAGCAUUUAACCCAACAUAGAUCUAUAGUCUUAAUAGUAUGUACUAAUGGGUUACUAUAAACUUUUAAGUCAGAAUUACAGAAAUGGAAAAAACAAAAGCCUUGUAUUUUGCAGGACACAAAUUCUUUUGUAGAUAAAUCAAGUUGUAUUUGAAUGUAAAUAGGCCAUUCAGAUUCCUCUUCCUUAAUUUGAGAUUUACUAGAAGAAAUGACACAGAGAAUGGAAGCCCUGGAAAAUCGCCUGCGAUACAGAUGAAGAUUCAAAAUGCUCUAUGUAUUUGUACAUCAUUGUAUCAAGGAUUACAGUGAAAACAGUUCAGAGCCCCCAAAGCUCAGGCUAUCAUUAAUUCUGUAAGGUUGUAAAGUAAAACAACAAGAGUUGAGAAAGCUGGUUUGCUAUAGAACAAAGGCAAAAAGUACACACUAACUUGUAUAAAUUCAUUGAGAAAA
This is a non-coding RNA of Odocoileus virginianus texanus, 1841 nucleotides long. NCBI's taxonomy places the organism in Eukaryota, Metazoa, Chordata, Mammalia, Artiodactyla, Cervidae. The record is from RefSeq and is a predicted model, not a curated record.